AGAAGCCCUAGAUUCGGCGGCGAAGCCCUCAACGACUUGCCCUGCUGCAUCGCGUACAAUUCCGGCGAUAGAACAAGUAAACGCACCUGGAACCCAUGAAGCAUCAACGUUCAUCUUGAUCUCCCAUCUGUUCGGUGGCUUCCAGCGAACCGGUAAGUUUCGAUUUAGGGUUUCUCCUUUCGGUUUCAUCGUCCAUCUGCUGAAAGUGAUGCUUUGGUUUUGUGCUAGCUUGACCUGGGGUGAAUAGCAACCCCAACUCAAGAAGAAUUUGAAAACAAAAGAAAGUAGCACAGGUAAACGGAGACAAGAUAAUGCCCACCUCCAAUUAAGGGUGAGUAUAGUCGAGGUAGGUAGGAACCAGUCAUUAAGGAUCAAUUUUGAAAAAUUGAAACCGAGAAUCGGCCAUUGAUUUCAUGAAUCCAUUCAAGAAUCGAAUUGUCGAUUGGGUUAGGUUCUCGGGCAAGUUCAUAAAAUUGAUCCUUAAUUCUUAUAAUAUUAUAUUUAUCAAUUAAUAUUAGUUUGAAGCUAGUUUUUAUUUUAGUGCAUCAAAACUUGUUCGACA
RNAcentral lists this long non-coding RNA (562 nucleotides) under Eucalyptus grandis. Its description in RNAcentral is "long non-coding RNA (EGRA_LNC005825)". Lineage: Eukaryota; Viridiplantae; Streptophyta; Magnoliopsida; Myrtales; Myrtaceae. The record is from RNAcentral.